UCAAGGAAUUGACGGGGCCGCACAAGCGGUGGAGUAUGUGGUUUAAUUCGAUGCAACGCGAAGAACCUUACCUGGUCUUGACAUCCCGGAGACCCUUAGGAAACUAGGGGGUGCUUCCAUCUGGAAGAAUCUGGAGACAGGUGCUGCAUGGCUGUCGUCAGCUCGUGUCGUGAGAUGUUGGGUUAAGUCCCGCAACGAGCGCAACCCUUGCCUUUAGUUGCCAGCAGUUCGGCUGGGCACUCUAAAGGGACUGCCGGUGUUAAACCGGAGGAAGGUGGGGAUGACGUCAAGUCCUCAUGGCCUUUAUGACCAGGGCUACACACGUACUACAAUGGCCGAUACAAAGGGCAGCGACACUGCGAGGUGAAGCCAAUCCCGUAAAAUCGGUCUCAGUCCGGAUUGGAGUCUGCAACUCGACUCCAUGAAGUUGGAAUCGCUAGUAAUCGUGGAUCAGCAUGCCACGGUGAAUACGUUCCGGCCUU
This 482-nucleotide ribosomal RNA is filed under the name uncultured Desulfobulbus sp. RNAcentral describes it as "bacterial SSU rRNA". It matches the Rfam family "Bacterial small subunit ribosomal RNA", at positions 904 to 1382 of the family's 1533-position model. Lineage: Bacteria; Pseudomonadati; Thermodesulfobacteriota; Desulfobulbia; Desulfobulbales; Desulfobulbaceae. The record is from RNAcentral.